UUUCAAAUUACGUCUUAUGCAUUUGGCAUGCUAAACAGUUGAAGUGUUACUGCCACCUAAUAAACAUUACGCAGCUACAAUCUGGUUUAUGUUAUAUGUACAUCUUGUAUGCAGUACAUGUCGAGUUAUCAGCAGAGCAUAUAACUUAUACUGGCUUCUGCAAAUAGUACAUCCUAUAUGGAUGAAUGUCAUGUAGAUAGUAUCAUGUUUGCAUCUCAGAUUUGGCGACAUUGCAAAGAACGUGGAUCAAUAAAAGUUCAAGUCCAGCUUUAAAUUCAAUUUUCUGAUAAGUUAGGAUCAACCAGCUGACAGAACUCGGGAAAUAUCCAUCCCGAAAAUGUUUAAUGAUGGAUCGAGCUCCUCUAUUUCAAUUUAUUCACCCUCGAAUAUCCACUCAGACUAGGCACCGAAAGACGUUCUUUGAAAGCUUUCAUCCUGCAAGCUGCCAUUCAACAGGUGAAUCAAUCUCCCUGAUAAUUUACAGUUUUCAUUCACAGACGAACAAUCACUCCUUAUCUGUGCAAUGUAAAGAUGGCUAAAUAAAACAUAUGUGAAGCUAAAAUUUCCAAAUUUGUUUUUAUAAUACUAUUAUUACAUUCAAGGUAAGCUCACUAACA
Molecule: long non-coding RNA, 617 nt
Organism: Aedes aegypti (yellow fever mosquito)
Lineage: Eukaryota; Metazoa; Arthropoda; Insecta; Diptera; Culicidae
Exons: 3
Source: RefSeq, a predicted model, not a curated record